This 200-nucleotide ribosomal RNA is filed under the name uncultured bacterium. RNAcentral describes it as "partial 16S ribosomal RNA". It matches the Rfam family "Bacterial small subunit ribosomal RNA", at positions 335 to 527 of the family's 1533-position model. The record is from RNAcentral.
ACUCCUACGGGAGGCAGCAGUGGGGAAUAUUGCACAAUGGGCGAAAGCCUGAUGCAGCCAUGCCGCGUGUAUGAAGAAGGCCUUCGGGUUGUAAAGUACUUUCAGUCGUGAGGAAGGGUGUGUAGUUAAUAGCUGCAUAUCUUGACGUUAGCGACAGAAGAAGCACCGGCUAACUCCGUGCCAGCAGCCGCGGUAAUACA